Molecule: long non-coding RNA, 1656 nt
Filed under: Sus scrofa (pig)
Lineage: Eukaryota; Metazoa; Chordata; Mammalia; Artiodactyla; Suidae
Description: lncRNA (ENSSSCG00045018577.1)
Source: RNAcentral
UAGCACAGGGAACUCUAUCCAAUAUGGUAAUAAUUUAUAUGGGAAAAGAAUCUGAAAAAGAAUGGGUAUGUGUAUAUGUGUAACUGUGUCACUUUGUUGUAUAGCAGAUACUAUCACAACAUUGUAAAUCAACUGUAUUUCAAUAAAACUUUAAGAAAUAAGUUUAAAAAACUAAAAAAUAUAAAAACGAAAACAACAACAAAAAAUUUUGAGUCAAUCCCCAGGGUUUGCUUUGUAAGGCGAUCUGACUCUAGUAAAAACGUCCCUAUUCUAUGCUUAUAAAUUUAUAUGAAAAUGAUCACAGAUUGUGUAUCAAAUUGAAUACAGAAUUAAUUAUAUUUGCAAUCAAAAAUAGUAUUCAAAUGUUUAAUAAAUGAAAAAAAUCUCUAAGAAAAAAAAACAAAAAAAGAGUUACUGAGAUGGGUCAGAAACCAACCUCUCCCUAAACAGACCUCAGCCUUUUCUUUUCUCUUCUAAUGAAAACAGACGUAUAUCAUUAACUCUGUCUCUUCUGGAUGAAAGCUGAAAGCUGUCUAAUAAGCAAUAAAUGAAUGAAUGCCAGGAAAUAUACACGCUAGCUUCUCUAAAGCCCAGCUCAAUUUCUACCCCGUGAAAGUACAGAAGCACACUCAGUUGAUGGAAUAAAAUCUUUUCAGCGUGUGCUUUUAGCAGGGGAUCACAUUUUGCAUGAGUGAUAAUCUCAUUUUUAUGCACAAACCGAUUCAGUGAUUUCAACCUUUUAACAAUCUAUUACUCCUCUGGGUUGAUGAAAGUCUUAUGCUUCCCCUUUCUUGGGGGGUUUGGGCCUCUCCCAAGGGCAGGGAGGAAGCAUAAUUUUUCUUCUACCUUUCUAUGUUCUUGGCUGAGACCCCUCUUCUAAUAAAAGACAGAUGAAUAGGGGGAAAGCAAAUAAAAGUUUAAUAGUAUGUAUACCUUCUGUAUACACGGGGGGAUGAUCAAGAAAACUGAGUAACUCCUGUGAUAGCCCAACCCAUCACCUUAAAUACCAUCUUCACCCCAAGAAGAUGCUGGUGGGAGGAAACCAAUUAUGAGAGGUCAUCUGGCAGCAUACAAUAUACAGCAUACAGAUAGAAGUCCUUACUUUCCCCAUUGAUAGACAUUUUAAGAGAUUUGAUAAUCCUCUUCUUGGUAAAGAGAGGGAGAUAGCUUUACAAAUGGAGAUUUCACCUGUAAAUGUAAUAUAUAUUUCAAAAGAGUAACUUCUAGGUUUUCAGAGUUUUUUUCCUAUUUCUGGCACAACUCAAAUGGAGAGGAAGAAAUCAAUUUUGCCUUUUAGAUGAAGUCAGGGACAACGUUGAAGAAGAGAGAACAUUUGAGUUGCGUCUUUGGAGAUGAGAGGAUGGUCUGGAAUGGAGGAAAGGCCAUCCAGGCAGAAGGAACACGUGAGUUCCCAUCGUGGCGGCGCAGUGGUUAACGAAUCCGACUAGGAACCAUGAGGUUGCGGGUUUGAUCCCUGCCCUUGCUCAGUGGAUUAAGGAUUCGGUGUUGCCAUGAGCUGUGCUGUGGGUUGCAGACAUGGCUCGGAUCCCGAGUUGCUGUGGCUAUGGUGUAGACUGGCAGCUACAGCUCUGAUUUGACCCCUAGCCUGGGAACCUCCACAUGCUGCAGGAGAGGCCCCAGAAAAGGCAAAAAGCC